GACGAACGCUGGCGGCGUGCUUAACACAUGCAAGUCGAACGGAAAGGCCCUGCUUUCGUGGGGUGCUCGAGUGGCGAACGGGUGAGUAACACGUGAGUAACCUGCCCGUGACUUUGGGAUAACUUCAGGAAACUGGGGCUAAUACCGGAUAGGAGCUCCUGCUGCAUGGUGGGGGUUGGAAAGUUUCGGCGGUUGGGGAUGGACUCGCGGCUUAUCAGCUUGUUGGUGGGGUAGUGGCUUACCAAGGCUUUGACGGGUAGCCGGCCUGAGAGGGUGACCGGCCACAUUGGGACUGAGAUACGGCCCAGACUCCUACGGGAGGCAGCAGUGGGGAAUAUUGCACAAUGGGCGGAAGCCUGAUGCAGCAACGCCGCGUGCGGGAUGACGGCCUUCGGGUUGUAAACCGCUUUCGCCUGUGACGAAGCGUGAGUGACGGUAAUGGGUAAAGAAGCACCGGCUAACUACGUG
RNAcentral lists this ribosomal RNA (468 nucleotides) under uncultured bacterium. Its description in RNAcentral is "partial 16S ribosomal RNA". It matches the Rfam family "Bacterial small subunit ribosomal RNA", at positions 28 to 507 of the family's 1533-position model. The record is from RNAcentral.